This is a non-coding RNA of Triticum aestivum (bread wheat), 135 nucleotides long. Lineage: Eukaryota; Viridiplantae; Streptophyta; Magnoliopsida; Poales; Poaceae. The record is from Rfam.
CUUGUACUCCCUCCGUCCGGAAAUAUUUGUCAUCAAAAUGAAUAAAUGGAGAUGUAUCUAGACGUAUUUUAGUUCUAGAUACAUCCCUUUUUAUUCAUUUUGAUGACAAAUAUUUUCGGACGGAGGGACUAGUAU